This 255-nucleotide ribosomal RNA is filed under the name uncultured bacterium. RNAcentral describes it as "partial 16S ribosomal RNA". It matches the Rfam family "Bacterial small subunit ribosomal RNA", at positions 524 to 777 of the family's 1533-position model. The record is from RNAcentral.
UACAGAGGUCUCAAGCGUUGUUCGGAUUCAUUGGGCGUAAAGGGUGCGUAGGUGGCGCCGUAAGUCAGGUGUGAAAUUUCGGAGCUUAACUCCGAAACUGCAUUUGAUACUGCGGUGCUUGAGGACUGGAGAGGAGACUGGAAUUUACGGUGUAGCAGUGAAAUGCGUAGAGAUCGUAAGGAAGACCAGUGGCGAAGGCGGGUCUCUGGACAGUUCCUGACACUGAGGCACGAAGGCCAGGGGGAGCAAACGGGG